ACCUCUGUGGCUCAGUGCGUCAGUGUGUUUGGCUGUUAACCAGAAGGUUGGCGGUUCGAGCCCUCCCAGGGACA
This is a non-coding RNA of Podarcis lilfordi (Lilford's wall lizard), 74 nucleotides long. The record is from the annotation of a GenBank genome assembly. Lineage: Eukaryota; Metazoa; Chordata; Lepidosauria; Squamata; Lacertidae.